AUGACGCGUGAGCUAAAGGAUGCCACUGUCCGAUGUGAAUUCCCCGAGAAGGAAAACAAAAUCAAAAUGGCCGAUCUCGACAAGGCCUUACAAGAGGCGAGAGAAGCACAAUCCGAGUCUAGAGCUGCUCGGGAGGAGAUCCGGCAAGCUGGGGAGAUAGCGGCUGGUAAGCCCUUCUUAUUACAGGCUAAGUUCCGCGAUCCGAAGUAUGCCCCACUUAAUCAAAUGUGGAGUUCUCCAGACGCAUUCUUGGACUUGCCGAAGAGUGUCUCCGAUGCGGCGCAGUUUUUCCAAGCGCAAGAAGGACAUGCAACGGAGAAGCUUUUCUGGUCGCAAUUCAGCAUGCCAAAGCGUCCGCUGUUGCUGAACGAAUAG
This 375-nucleotide ribosomal RNA is filed under the name Triticum aestivum (bread wheat). RNAcentral's name for it is "partial small subunit ribosomal RNA". The record is from RNAcentral. Lineage: Eukaryota; Viridiplantae; Streptophyta; Magnoliopsida; Poales; Poaceae.